This 701-nucleotide ribosomal RNA is filed under the name uncultured bacterium. RNAcentral describes it as "bacterial SSU rRNA". It matches the Rfam family "Bacterial small subunit ribosomal RNA", at positions 46 to 791 of the family's 1533-position model. The record is from RNAcentral.
GCUUACACAUGCAAGUCGAGCGGGCGUACAAUACGUCAGCGGCAGACGGGUGAGUAACGCGUGGGAACAUACCUUUUGGUUCGGAACAACACAGGGAAACUUGUGCUAAUACCGGAUAAGCCCUUACGGGGAAAGAUUUAUCGCCGAAAGAUUGGCCCGCGUCUGAUUAGCUAGUUGGUGAGGUAACGGCUCACCAAGGCGACGAUCAGUAGCUGGUCUGAGAGGAUGAUCAGCCACAUUGGGACUGAGACACGGCCCAAACUCCUACGGGAGGCAGCAGUGGGGAAUAUUGGACAAUGGGCGCAAGCCUGAUCCAGCCAUGCCGCGUGAGUGAUGAAGGCCCUAGGGUUGUAAAGCUCUUUUGUGCGGGAAGAUAAUGACGGUACCGCAAGAAUAAGCCCCGGCUAACUUCGUGCCAGCAGCCGCGGUAAUACGAAGGGGGCUAGCGUUGCUCGGAAUCACUGGGCGUAAAGGGUGCGUAGGCGGGUCUUUAAGUCAGGGGUGAAAUCCUGGAGCUCAAUCCAGAACUGGCUUUGAUACUGAGGAUCUUGAGUUCGGGAGAGGUGAAGUGGAACUGCGAGUGUAGAGGUGAAAUUCGGUAGAUAUUCGCAAGAACACCAGUGGCGAAGGCGGGCUCACUGGCCCCGAUACUGACGCUGAGGCACGAAAGCGUGGGAGCAAACAGGAUUAGAUACCCUGGU